GUCUACAGCCAUGCCACUCUGAACAAGCCUAAUGUCUGAUCUCAGAAGCUACGCAGUGUCGGGCCUGGUUAAUACUUGGAUGGGAGACUAACUAGAGAGACCAGAUGCUGUAGGCA
This 116-nucleotide ribosomal RNA is filed under the name Pteropus alecto (black flying fox). The record is from RNAcentral. Lineage: Eukaryota; Metazoa; Chordata; Mammalia; Chiroptera; Pteropodidae.